AGCAGCCGCGGUAAUUCCAGCUCCAAUAGCGUAUAUUAAAGUUGUUGCAGUUAAAAAGCUCGUAGUUGAAUUUCGAGAUCAAAUUGUUGGUCGUGCCUUGGUACGCACUGGCAUUAUUGGUUUCUCCCUUCUGACGAACCAUGAUGUCAUUAAUUUGGUGUCUUGGGGAAUCAGGACUGUUACUUUGAAAAAUUAGAGUGUUUAAAGCAGGCUCACGCUUGAAUACAUUAGCAUGGAAUAAUGAAAUAGGACGUUUGAUUCUAUUUUGUUGGUUUCUAGGAUCGACGUAAUGAUUAAUAGGGAUAGUUGGGGGCAUUAGUAUUCAAUUGUCAGAGGUGAAAUUCUUGGAUUUAUUGAAGACUAACUACUGCGAAAGCAUUUGCCAAGGAUGUUUUCAUUAAUCAAGAACGAAAGUUAGGGGAUCGAAGACGAUCAGAUACCGUCGUAGUCUUAACCAUAAACUAUGC
RNAcentral lists this unclassified non-coding RNA (467 nucleotides) under uncultured Glomus. RNAcentral describes it as "SSU rRNA". It matches the Rfam family "Eukaryotic small subunit ribosomal RNA", at positions 569 to 1042 of the family's 1831-position model. Lineage: Eukaryota; Fungi; Glomeromycota; Glomeromycetes; Glomerales; Glomeraceae. The record is from RNAcentral.